UUGGAGAUGGAGAUUACUUUAGUCAGCUUGACUCAGAGAUGGCCCUGGAGCACUCUUCAUCGAAAUUUAUGAGCAUUUCCGUGGUCUGUGUCUUUCCUGCUUUUCUCCUGAGCACUUGGUGAGCUGGGAUUGCAAUUUGUGCUUCUCUCCCGAACACCUGGUGAGCAUUAGAAUGGGUACUGCAAUUUCUCGUCUUGCAGCUGAAAAUCCGACCUGCCCCCAUGAUAUUCAAUUAUGAAGGUUGAUUUAUGUUUGUCUGCAACACCACCGCUUGUCUUCCCUUACGUUCUGCCAAAAUUUGAUUAUUAGGUGCUACAGAAUGCAGAAUUCAUUUCAAGCCACACAAUGAGCACCAGAGGAAACUUGUAGACUUUGAAUAUUGUUUUCUUUUCUUCUUUUGAUUGAUAAAGAAACACGUAGCUAGACCUUGCUUCUUAGUCUCUGACCCUUUG
Molecule: long non-coding RNA, 452 nt
Filed under: Rosa chinensis
Lineage: Eukaryota; Viridiplantae; Streptophyta; Magnoliopsida; Rosales; Rosaceae
Description: sRNA RchiOBHm_Chr6g0267651
Source: RNAcentral